Molecule: unclassified non-coding RNA, 273 nt
Filed under: uncultured Coltriciella
Lineage: Eukaryota; Fungi; Basidiomycota; Agaricomycetes; Hymenochaetales; Hymenochaetaceae
Description: sequence contains ITS2
Source: RNAcentral
UUAAUCUCAAUUCCCUUAGGGGUUUUGGAUUUGGGGGUUUUGUGCAGGUUCUCCUUAUAGGGAAUCAGCUCCUCUUAAAAAUAUUAGCUGGAGGGAUGAAGCAAAAUUGGCCUUAGCAUUGUUCCAUUAGCUUAUGAUGUAAUAAUUGUUUCAUCAUGGUAUCAUAUGGGUGAUCCAAUGCCCCAAUAGAGGGAAUAAAUAACCUCAGGGAGGCUUUUUGGUGGCAUUCUCUGCUUCUAAUUUGUUAGAUCUAUCUAACAAUUCAUGUAUUUU